AAAAAAACCCUUUCACAUUAGGUCAAAUUUUAUUUCACACACAUUUCCUCUAACGGUUUUUCUCUUCCGCCAAUUCUUCUUCUUCCCUGUCUGACUCUCAUUCACCGUCUCUUGCUCACUACUCUCCUUCUCUAGCUUCUCACUCUCGCCUUUCUUACUAAGUCUGCCCCUACUAGUGGUGGAAGCAAGGCGCCCAUUGGUAUCUGUACUCUUGUUGAUCGGAAUCGUGCUCCUUCUUCUACACCUUCAAGUUUUUCCACCAGACUACGACGACCCCAAUCAUUCCUCCAUACCUGUUAAUAAGUAAUUUCCUAUUUAUUUAUUUUUGGUUCGAAUAUACACGAUUUUACUGCUCUGUUCAAUUCCUGUUGCAAUAUCUUUUACUUUUUUUGUUUUUUUUUUGUUAUUUGUGGAUCUAGUGAUUUAAGGUACUUGCUCCAUGUCUGCUCUUUCUUUUCAAUAAUUUACAAUGUUUCUUUAAUUUUAUUUUUCUCAAAAUUUCAAUGUUAAUUUCUUGAAGAAUUGAGAAGUACCCAUUAAUGAUUACGGUGUUUAUAGAGUUGGGUUUUGGCUUUAUUUGAUUUAUAAGUUAAUUUGAAUUUCUGGCUAGGUUUUAGAAUUUGGAAAAAGAAGGAAAUAAUGACACAGGGUAGAGACAAAUUCAAGUACUGAACCUAUAGGCCAAAACUUGAUAAAGCUUAUAAGCAAUUUGUGUUUUUUUGUGAUUGUAUUCCCAGUUUUAGUAUUCAUUAUUAUUGCAAUUACCUAUCAACCUCCAAAUCCAUGACUUGGAUCAGCUCUUGCCCUUAACCUCUUUAUUGAUAAUGGAAAUCCACUUUUAAAAAUGAUGAUUCCAUUCUUAAAACAUGUAUGGAAUAUAGCAGCGAUUAUUCCGACGGAGAAAGUAUUAGGCGUUGGUCGUGGUAAUUGUAGCAAUGGUAUUUCAGUGGUCAGUUUGUGCAUGAAGAAAAAUUCUUAGGGAUUUGCUGUAGAGAACUGCUAGCUAGAGGCCACGGCUUCUGAAACAGAUCCUUAAGGGUAAUCAAUUAUCUUUUUAAUAGCUAUCUUAAUUCCUUAUAUUGUUGUCAAUGCUAAUGUUAUGGUCAAUGCUAAUUUUGGAAACAAUUUUAUGGUCAAUGCUAAUGUUGGAACUGAUCCUCUCUACUCUCUUGAUCGGCUCCAAGAGUAGAAUGAUGCUAGUACUUUGGCAGUAGGAGCGACAAAGGCUAGAGACAAAGACUAGGUAAAACAUUUAUCAUCUCUCGUCCAAUUGAAGUAACGUGGAAAAAGAUAACUUUAGACAGACCGCAAGAGCAGUAGCUGCAUCUAACACGAUAAUGUGCAGAGAGCUCAAAGGAAUAGAUAUGAUGCCAUUGUCCUAACAGCUGAUCGUUCAAGAUUCAGUAGAAGAGAAGCAGACAAAAAAUAAAAUGAUUGUACCUCAGCGGAAGAAUUUGUAGAUUUUCUUAUCAACCGAAGUUGUAUCUGUAGUUCAUGUUGUUAGAGGGAGAAUUGCAGUUAUCGUUGACGGAGGAAUACGAAGUGGGGCUUAUGUGUUCAAGGCAUUGGCACUCGGUGCACAAGCAGUCCUUGCAUAUUAUGGCCCAAGAGUCGCUCUUCUACCAUAUUAUAACUCGGCCAUGGCGUCUGGCCAUGCCCCUCAUCCAUAUAUGUGGGGAGCAUCGCAAGUCGCAGUUAUAUUUUCUGAUUAAGAGUUCCGACCAUCUUUAUGUUUGCGUACAAUGAUUUUGGUGUUGGUUCAGUGAUUAUCUAAUAUGCUGUUGGUUCAGUGUUUAAAUGUUAUAUCUUACAUACAUGAUGAAACUAACAGAGCAAGGCAAGAGCUGAACGGCUAGAAGCGAUAUUGUCAACAUCACGAGCAGAAUCAUCAUUACCACCACGACGAUGACGACAUCGGCUCUUUUGUAGGCGUAGUUUUUUUUUUAUCUUUGUAUUCUACAACCUUCUCACAUAGAUUGUUUUAUGUAUUUACAAAUCUUACUAUGUAUAACUGCUUUUUUUUUUGAAUUAA
Molecule: long non-coding RNA, 2032 nt
Organism: Mercurialis annua (annual mercury)
Lineage: Eukaryota; Viridiplantae; Streptophyta; Magnoliopsida; Malpighiales; Euphorbiaceae
Exons: 7
Source: RefSeq, a predicted model, not a curated record